Molecule: ribosomal RNA, 443 nt
Filed under: uncultured bacterium
Lineage: Bacteria
Description: partial 16S ribosomal RNA
Rfam family: Bacterial small subunit ribosomal RNA
Source: RNAcentral
CCUACGGGUGACAGCAGUGGGGAAUAUUGGUCAAUGGGCGCAAGCCUGACCCAGCAACGCCGCGUGAAGGAAGAAGGCUUUAGGGUUGUAAACUUCUUUUCUUAGGGACGAAGAAAGUGACGGUACCUGAGGAAUAAGCCACGGCUAACUACGUGCCAGCAGUCGCGGUAAUACGGAGGGGGCAGUCGUUAUCCGGAUUUAUUGGGUGUAAAGGGCGUGUAGGCGGGAGCGCAAGUCAGAUGUGAAAACUCAGGGCUCAACCCUGAGCCUGCAUUUGAAACUGUGUUUCUUGAGUGCGGGAGAGGCAAUCGGAAUUCGGUGUGUAGCGGUGAAAUGCUUAGAUAUACGGAGGAACACCAGUGGCGAAGGCAGAUUGCUGGACAGUAACUGACGCUGAGGCGCGAAAGCGUGGGGAGCAAACAGGAUUAGAUACCCGAGUAGUC